This 301-nucleotide ribosomal RNA is filed under the name uncultured bacterium. RNAcentral describes it as "partial 16S ribosomal RNA". It matches the Rfam family "Bacterial small subunit ribosomal RNA", at positions 509 to 807 of the family's 1533-position model. The record is from RNAcentral.
CAGCAGCCGCGGUAAUGCGUAGGGUGCGAGCGUUAAUCGGAAUUACUGGGCGUAAAGCGUGCGCAGGCGGUUUUGUAAGACAGGCGUGAAAUCCCCGGGCUCAACCUGGGAAUGGCGCUUGUGACUGCAAAGCUAGAGUGCGGCAGAGGGGGGUGGAAUUCCGCGUGUAGCAGCGAAAUGCGUAGAUAUGCGGAGGAACACCGAUGGCGAAGGCAAUCCCCUGGGCCUGCACUGACGCUCAUGCACGAAAGCGUGGGGAGCAAACAGGAUUAGAUACCCCCGUAGUCCCUGUCUCUUAUAC